This 855-nucleotide ribosomal RNA is filed under the name uncultured archaeon. RNAcentral describes it as "bacterial SSU rRNA". It matches the Rfam family "Archaeal small subunit ribosomal RNA", at positions 85 to 940 of the family's 1478-position model. The record is from RNAcentral.
ACUGCUCAGUAACACGUAGCUAACCUACCCUUAGGACGAGGACAACCCCGAGAAAUUGGGGCUAAUCCGCGAUAGGUGUGAUGUCCUGGAAUGGUAUCACGCCCAAAGGUGUUCGCACGCCUAAGGAUGGGGCUGCGGCCGAUCAGGCAGUUGGUGAGGUAACGGCUCACCAAACCUUUGACCGGUACGGGCCAUGAGAGUGGUAGCCCGGAGAUGGACACUGAGACAAGGGUCCAGGCCCUACGGGGCGCAGCAGGCGCGAAACCUCCUCAAUGCACUCACGUGCGAAGGGGUUACCUCGAGUGCCGCCUGAAGAAGGCGGCUUUUCCAUGGUCUAAAAAGCCUAGGGAAUAAGAGGGGGGCAAGACUGGUGUCAGCCGCCGCGGUAACACCAGCCCCUCGAGUGGUGGGGAUGAUUAUUUGGCCUAAAGCGUCCGUAGCCGGCCGGAUAAGUCUCCCGUUAAAUCCAGCGUCUCAAGCGUUGGACUGCGGGAGAUACUGUCUGGCUAGAGAGUGGGAGAGGUAUACGGUAUUCUGGGGGUAGGGGCGAAAUCCAUUGAUCCCCGGAGGACCACCAGUGGCGAAGGCUGUAUACUAGAACACGUCUGACGGUCAGGGACGAAAGCUGGGGUAGCGAACCGGAUUAGAUACCCGGGUAGUCCCAGCCGUAAACGAUGCACGCUAGGUGUUGGGUCGGCCACGAGCCGCCCCAGUGCCGCAGGGAAGCCAUUAAGCGUGCCGCCUGGGGAGUACGGCCGCAAGGCUGAAACUUAAAGGAAUUGGCGGGGGAGCACCACCAGGCGUGAAGCCUGCGGUUUAAUUGGAUUCAACGCCGGGAAUCGAAUUCCCGCGGCC